RNAcentral lists this ribosomal RNA (632 nucleotides) under uncultured Piscinibacter sp. RNAcentral's name for it is "bacterial SSU rRNA". It matches the Rfam family "Bacterial small subunit ribosomal RNA", at positions 897 to 1533 of the family's 1533-position model. Lineage: Bacteria; Pseudomonadati; Pseudomonadota; Betaproteobacteria; Burkholderiales; Sphaerotilaceae. The record is from RNAcentral.
AAACUCAAAGGAAUUGACGGGGACCCGCACAAGCGGUGGAUGAUGUGGUUUAAUUCGAUGCAACGCGAAAAACCUUACCUACCCUUGACAUGCUAGGAAUCCCGCAGAGAUGUGGGAGUGCUCGAAAGAGAACCUGGACACAGGUGCUGCAUGGCCGUCGUCAGCUCGUGUCGUGAGAUGUUGGGUUAAGUCCCGCAACGAGCGCAACCCUUAUCAUUAGUUGCUACGCAAGGGCACUCUAAUGAGACUGCCGGUGACAAACCGGAGGAAGGUGGGGAUGACGUCAGGUCAUCAUGGCCCUUAUGGGUAGGGCUACACACGUCAUACAAUGGCCGGUACAGAGGGCUGCCAACCCGCGAGGGGGAGCUAAUCUCAGAAAACCGGUCGUAGUCCGGAUCGCAGUCUGCAACUCGACUGCGUGAAGUCGGAAUCGCUAGUAAUCGCGGAUCAGCUUGCCGCGGUGAAUACGUUCCCGGGUCUUGUACACACCGCCCGUCACACCAUGGGAGCGGGUUCUGCCAGAAGUAGUUAGCCUAACCGCAAGGAGGGCGAUUACCACGGCAGGGUUCGUGACUGGGGUGAAGUCGUAACAAGGUAGCCGUAUCGGAAGGUGCGGCUGGAUCACCUCCUUU